GACGAACGCUGGCGGCGUGCCUAAUACAUGCAAGUAGGACGCAGUUGCGAACGGGUGAGUAACGCGCAGGUAACUCUCUAUUAGAGGGGGAUAACUAAUGGAAACGCUAGCUAAUACAGCAUACUCGUAGAUGGACCUGCCUUGUAUUAGCUAGUAGGUAGGGUAAUGGCCUAACUAGGCAACGAUACAUAGCCGACCUGAGAGGGUGAUCGGCCAAACUGGGGCGGGAGCAAGGCCCCGAAUCCGACGGGAGGCACCAGUAGGGAAUCGUCCGGAAUGGGGGGAACCCUGACCUGGCAACGCCGCGUGAGGGAAGAAGGUUUUCGGAUCGUAAAGCUCUGUUGUUAAGGAAGCGGUACUUAACCAGAAAGGGACGGCUAACUACGUGCCAGCAGCCGCGGUAAUUC
This 407-nucleotide ribosomal RNA is filed under the name uncultured bacterium. RNAcentral's name for it is "partial 16S ribosomal RNA". It matches the Rfam family "Bacterial small subunit ribosomal RNA", at positions 28 to 526 of the family's 1533-position model. The record is from RNAcentral.